CUCUCUAUCCAUGAGUCGAGAUGUGCUGCAGUCGACUUCCACUUGGUCGAGCGUGAUCGAAAUUGAUCUACGCGGUACAAAAGAGUGUAUCGACGGUCGGGACACUUCGGUCGAGCCGAUAGCAAAAGAGUUAAUUAUAAAGAGCCGAGCAUCAAAAUCCGAUACGUUGUCCAUCGUUGUUACUAACGGCGAUGACCAAUGAAGCCUCAGUGCGCGUUCGCUCGAUCGCGAACUGAACGUCGACCGGUUUAUCGGGCAUGGUAAGAUCGAUAUGUAGCGGCAGAUAGGUUAGAAGAAAGAGACACUCGAUUUCAUAAUAAAAUAAAAAAACAUGAAGUUCGUUUUUAUUCAAGGAUUAUCUGAGAAUCGAUGGUGUAUCGGCAUUAUACACAAUGUAAUGUAUGCUAUAAGCUGACAAAUACAAGUAAUAUGGUAUUAUAACUUCGAAAAUCAUGAGAGAUUCAGUGAAGUUUAUUUGAAAUUUGUAUUAUAGUAUAUUUUCGAUUGGAUGAUGUUAUUGGUCUAUUAUGAUUCUGUUAUAAAUCUUUGUGAUUAUUUAUUGUAAAUCUUUUUUAAUAUGAACUUUCAUAUUGAAUCUAAGAAUCGAUAUAAUCUAUAAAGAAUUACACAAUAGAAGAUGUUCUAUUUAUUCUAUCGAACACGUGCCUCACUGCAUGCAUAUACAUAUAUAUAUAUGCACAUAUAGUAUGUUGCCAUGAAAACCGGCUCUUCGAUAUAUUUUCAUCCUAUUCGUAUAACAACGAUAGAACAUUAAAAUAUUUUCAAAUUCUAAAUUUGAAAAUUUAACCCAAUUAAAAUUAACCUAUAUAUACGAAUAAUUAUUUGUUUUUCUUAUUAAAAAAAAUAAAUUUUUCUAGUAAAUCUCUUA
Long non-coding RNA from Apis cerana (Asiatic honeybee), 889 nucleotides. RefSeq lists it as uncharacterized. The record is from RefSeq and is a predicted model, not a curated record. NCBI's taxonomy places the organism in Eukaryota, Metazoa, Arthropoda, Insecta, Hymenoptera, Apidae.